AGUUCCUGUACCUCUCACACCAGAAAUGGAAUAAUGGGAAAACAUGAAUUAAGCUCUAGUAUGAGGAUCAUUUCCACAUCCUUCCCCAGUUAAAUAUAUGACUUUUGGAAAGUUCCUUCUUCUUGGACCUCAGUUUCAAUUCUGUAUUCUCUAAGCUGUCUUCAUCUCUAAGAUUAUCCUGAAGGCUCAUCAUCUCUUGCAGUGGAAACGGAAACAUAGCAGUUUUCACAUUUCCUUCAUCUCUCAGACAGAACUCUCCAUGAUGUUGACCGACUUCAAUGUUGAGAGCCAUUCUGAUCUUCAAAAUAAGUCACUGUGGCAAAUUGAAGGCUUCACUGUUUGAAAGUUUUCCAUCAAAUAGUUUCGGUGCAGAUAGAUGUUUCAGGACUUUACAAGUUACUUCACUUACUGACUGAAUUUGUCACUCGGAUGGUUGUUGUUUUCAUGCCAGUCUUCCACGCUUUCCCCACCCCCAAUCUGUGAAAGCCUGAAUGUGACACAUAUAUAUCUUUCUAGAGUUUCUUUUCAUUCAUCUUUUGAUAUAAAGGGGAAUUCAAAAGACUUCCCUGGAGUCUUUAAUUCCCCUGAAAAGAGUACUAAUCAUAUCUAUAGGGUCUUUGUGGUACUGAGGGAAUUAAGACUGCGUUUGGUGCGUAUGUGCCUGUGCAUUAAAGCAUAUAUAUGUGCGGCAAAUUUAUACGGAAUUCUUCUGUGGGGUUGUGAAAAUCAAGGUUAGAAAAGUCUGAGGUUUAUAUCCAAUCAUACUUUUCUCCUAAAUAUCUGUUUAAAUAUUUGCUGAACUUUGAACACCAUCCCUAUAUCAGAUGCCUAAAAUCCAAAAGGGGGAUUCAAUAAACUGACCAAGGUCCCUGAAUUGGGAAUUGAACAAUGUAAAACCUGUUCUGUGUCAUAAAUACGUAUUGUUCUGAAGGCAACAGAGUUAAUAGAGAACAUUAGAUCAGAUUUCCAUUCUAUUAAACAACAGUUGUUGUUUUAUACUCUUUUAGUGCCAGGCUGUAGUUUUUUAUUCUUUUCUCUACUACUUAGAUUUUGUUUAGCCUUUAUGAAUUACUUGUAUGAUGGAAAAACAAAAUGUAGGCCUAAGUUAUGAACUGUAGGUUUUGUUAAGGGGCUUAAGGGUGAUUUUAAGGUUUAGUUACAAUACCAUUUAUAAAGUUUCACAGUUGAAAUUAGUGUAAGGAUUAGCACUAAAGACAAGCCGUCCAGUAGGGGUGAGUGUACAGAUAGUGAUAACCUAACACUAAUGUGCCAAUUCUUUCUCUUUUUUUUUCUUUAGUUUCACUGAUAGCUCAGCCAUUAAGAUUGUUUACAUCCAUUUCUCCAUUUAUUUAUAAUCAGCCUUUUUUUUUUAUUCCUAGUGCCUGAAUCAGUGAGUAUGGACACUAAUGCUGCUUCUUUAUAACAAUAAGAAUACCUUAGAGUACUGAUGGUUUUCUUUUCUCAGCCAGUUCUUCUGACAAUAGAAGCCCCAACUCUUAAAAAGAUCAGUGGGAGUUAGGGGCAUCCUACAGAUAGCUAUCAAGGAGUUGAGCUUCCGAAAAGAUGUUAGGUUUACUGAAUUUUCCCCCUUAAAACCUUUUUGAGUAAAAGUGAGUUGCUUACCACAAACAAUUCUGUGUUCAGGCUCCUGUGGAGCUGUGAAAGGGAGCAAUCAGCUGCCUAAAGCAAUAAAAGUCCUGUUCAUAUAAACUCUCUCUUAAGUAAUUGUGUUCAAGGUAAGACAUGUAGCAUAAAUUAAAUUGAUUGGGCCAGCAUUUCAUUUUAGAGAAUACUAGACAUGAGUAACACUGUUAGUAGGGCCAGGGACUGUUUCUUAAACUCAGACAAUAAGAAGCAGCUUAGAAGACUAAGCACAGUGAAAUCAUACGUUCAGAUUGGGAGGUUUUUCCCCUUCUUCUCUCCCUGGAAAUCACUGUCUUGUUUAAAUUUCUCUUGAAAGUUUAUUUGGUUUUCCACAUGGUCUUAUGAUUGACACGGCUUGCCUUUUAUUCCUGUAGAAAUGUACCCUUCUCUAAAGGUAGAGUCGUUACUUACUCCACAGCCAGCGUGCCUCAAAGCAAUAUUUUCCUUUCCCGUCUGUCAUAUUCUGCCAAGGGUUUAGAACAGAGCAGCUGCUAACUAUGAUUCAAAGUCAAGACGGAAUCAAGAACUUUUGAUUCAUAGUGUAUAUCACAUUACAUAUCACAGUUUGACCUCACAGAAAUCAGGUCAUAAAUGACAGUGUCAGGAAACUACAGGGAACCACUAGAAUGGUAAAACUCAGGAGAGCUAUCAUGCAAAGCUGAUUGUUAAUGUCUUACAGAUUUACACUGUUUUCAAAAGGAUAAAAUCAAGAUUUUCCCUGGGGUCUUACAGAAGAAAACCUAUUCUGGUCUCAGCCCUUUGAUUCCACUAGUUUAUGUGCUCUGAUAAGAUCCCUGUCCAAACAUUGAGUAUUGACUGCUGUACAUAAGUAUCCCCCAAAAAGUGGUUGACUAUUGAUAAAGAAGACAGGGAGGUUUGUUUGAUCAUUAGAGUACCCUGAUCUGACUCUUGUGUGUGCUUUUCCUUGGGGCCUGUCCAGUAACCUGUGGAAUCUCAUUCCCCAAUAUUUGGUACCCAUCUUCCCCACUUGAAGACACUCAUUGUUAGGAUCCUACCACUGAAAGGUGCUAAGUAACUCCCGAGUGCUCUUAAAUGUCUUUACGUUUGACUAUAACAGUAUUUCUAAGCAAACCAGUGUGCUCCAGUCUUUCUUCCAUGCUCUCAUUGCUGACUUGUUCUUACAGAACUUGGAGUACUUUAUUAACGUUCUUUCAUUCAUUCCAAUAAUGUCCGUGGAAAAAAAGAAUGGAAAUUAUUUUCUCCAUAGUACAGCUGGAAAAAUUGAGAGCAAAAGGAAUGAAGUACCCCCCAAAGGCACAUAGCUGUCUUGGACAGAAUUCAGUUACAUGUCUAGCGUACUGUUAGAAUGACUUGCUUCCCAGUACUGCUGCUGACACACAGCAGCUUAGAACAUUGAGAGCAAUUAGGGCAGAAUCACAUUUCAGACAAGUCCCAUUUUGUACAAAAUCAGAAAGUAUGCAAUUUUCUAUGUGACAGAAAUGUAAUAUGUGCCUCUUUCUCCCACUGGCCCCAUGUGACACAUUUCACACUACACAGCAUCAGCCAGUGCCAUCAUUUCCUGUGGUACCAUAGAGCCCAACUUCAGGGCUGGCUUUGCUAGGGAAAAGAAUGUGCUUCCCUACAUUUGUGCCAAAUUGCACAAAGUGUAGACAUUGAGCUAAUGAAGAUUUAAGCACAAUUCUAUCAGGUAUGUUUUAAGAAUAUUGAAUGUACAUUAUUGUAACAUCCAUCUGAAAUUCAGCAUGCCCCAGAUUCACGGGAAUGUAACAGUCAUGCAAAGCCUAUCCCUUUGCCUCUCAUCACUCAUAUAUUUGUGUGUGCAUGCAUGGGCGCACACACACAACAGCUACCAAACCUGAUUGCCUGGUUAUCAGGAGCAAAACUUUGAAGGAAUGAUUCUCCUUUCCUUUUAGAAAAAGUCCCAAUGGUCACUGCAAGUAAAGUACAUUCCAUUUGUACAUUCCAGAACCUCUGUUCCCAGAAUGGCUAAGAUAUUCAGUUGGUGCAAAAGACAUGUUCUGUGCCUGUGUCAGAAGCGCAGAAGGCAUAUAACAAGAUUGUUAGACCCUUCCAUAAGUCCCAUGUUCUUAGGAAAUUCAUGAGCUCCAUCCAAUCAGUAGAAAUUGGUUUAUUAGAUUUACUGCAUUUCUUUAAUCAUAACUAUAAUGUACCAUAUUAAAUUGUAGCUUUGCAUGCAGCUAUUAUGUAAUAAAAUAAUGACUGGGUGACUCCUAAUAGCAUGCAACCAUGACUGUUUACUUCCUCAAAGGGCCUGGGGCUUUGUCCUGCACAGUGUCCAAAACUAUUAAUUGUGUUCUUAGUAAGCAGCUGGUGUACAGUCAUCAAUCAGCACAAUGAGUUAAAACAUAAUAAAAUGCAAGGUAUCAGGAAAUAGAUUCAUAGUACGGGUUAGCAUUAAAGAGUGGAAAAAGCAAAGAGGUAAGAUGCAUUCAAGGAAUAAUUGCUGUCAUCCUGCUGGUUAAAUCAGCAAAGGGAUACGGCAGGAAAUCUGGUAAUUGGUGGCCGUAAAUAUAUGAAAUGCACUGGAGAGCCAGAAAAAGAAAGGCACUGGGGAUAUUAGUAGUUAAGCUCAUGUUGCCAAUUAGCUACAAAUCCUUUUUUCCACUAUCUGCUCAAAGUGAUUGUUUAUAGUAUUCUUAGAACCAUGUGUCUUGCUGCUGAAGUACCCACAAAUGCUGACCAGCUUUUUCCUAUGUCCUUCAUUAAAAGCAUAUGCUUAACAUUGUCGUUUCUUUUAUGUAUUAUGGUUUUGUUAAACAAUGUUGUCAGAGCCUAACAUUAUAAACCACUUGGAUGGGAGUUUCUGUACAUCUCAUUUCAGGGAAUAUAGUGGUUAUUCAUUCCCAGGUUGAGUGAUAAUGUGUGGUAUGUAGCCUCCUCUGUAAUCUUCCAAAGACUCUUGCCUGUGCCCAGUAUUUUUCAUGUUCCUACAUCCCUACAUGAAUACGAGAUGGGAAAUUAGCAGCAAUGACUUUUAGCUAGAAAUCUGACUAGUGUACUUAAUUAUGUUCAGUCUCUGCUAAGCCUCACACAUAUUUUGCC
Molecule: long non-coding RNA, 4689 nt
Organism: Talpa occidentalis (Iberian mole)
Lineage: Eukaryota; Metazoa; Chordata; Mammalia; Eulipotyphla; Talpidae
Exons: 3
Source: RefSeq, a predicted model, not a curated record